AACGAACGCUGGCGGCAUGCCUAACACAUGCAAGUCGAACGAGACCUUCGGGUCUAGUGGCGCACGGGUGCGUAACGCGUGGGAGCCUGCCCUUAGGUUCGGAAUAACUCCCCGAAAGGGGUGCUAAUACCGGAUAAUGUCUUCGGACCAAAGAUUUAUCGCCUUUGGAUGGGCCCGCGUUGGAUUAGCUAGUUGGUAGGGUAAAAGCCUACCAAGGCGACGAUCCAUAGCUGGUCUGAGAGGAUGAUCAGCCACACUGGGACUGAGACACGGCCCAGACUCCUACGGGAGGCAGCAGUGGGGAAUAUUGGACAAUGGGCGAAAGCCUGAUCCAGCAAUGCCGCGUGAGUGAUGAAGGCCUUAGGGUUGUAAAGCUCUUUUACCCGGGAUGAUAAUGACAGUACCGAGAGAAUAAGCUCCGGCUAACUCCGUG
Molecule: ribosomal RNA, 433 nt
Filed under: uncultured bacterium
Lineage: Bacteria
Description: partial 16S ribosomal RNA
Rfam family: Bacterial small subunit ribosomal RNA
Source: RNAcentral